UACGUAGGGGGCAAGCGUUGUCCGGAAUCAUUGGGCGUAAAGAGCGUGUAGGCGGCUCGAUAAGUCCGCCGUGAAAGUCCAGGGCUCAACCCUGGGAUGCCGGUGGAAACUGUCGGGCUAGAGUCCGGAAGGGGCGAGUGGAAUUCCUGGUGUAGCGGUGAAAUGCGCAGAUAUCGGAAGGAACACCAGUGGCGAAAGCGGCUUCCUGGUCCAGCACCGACGUUCAGGCACGAAAGCGUGGGGAGCAAACAGG
This 253-nucleotide ribosomal RNA is filed under the name uncultured bacterium. RNAcentral's name for it is "partial 16S ribosomal RNA". It matches the Rfam family "Bacterial small subunit ribosomal RNA", at positions 524 to 776 of the family's 1533-position model. The record is from RNAcentral.